RNAcentral lists this long non-coding RNA (1501 nucleotides) under Ananas comosus (pineapple). Its description in RNAcentral is "long non-coding RNA (ACOM_LNC041508)". The record is from RNAcentral. Lineage: Eukaryota; Viridiplantae; Streptophyta; Magnoliopsida; Poales; Bromeliaceae.
AGUCCCAGUACCGGUAUUCCACACAGGUACCGGUACUCAACAUUCAAAAUCUGCAGUUUGCAGAUUUCAGUGUCAGAACUCCAAUCUCGCACUGCGCCGAGUCCGUUUUUGCGUCCGUUUCACGCCACACGGCUCAAACUCGUCCCAACAUUCUACAGAUGUGUCGACAAGCCAUAGAUACUGCAGUCACUCCUACCACUAAACCCCAGGGAUACUACAUUAAAUUAUUAAUAAUUAAUUAUCAAUAAUAAAUUAAAUAAUUAUUUUAUUAUUUGAGCAAUAUAUAAUAAUUUAAAUAUAUUAAUUAGAUUAAUUAAUAAUUUAAUAUCAUAAUUAAAAUUAAAUUUAGACUUUGAUUAAUCUUGUUCCCACCUGGGAACAAGUUGUUCCAAGGACUCCAAAACUUGCAUCCAAACUCGAUGGAUUUCAAAAAUCUAUAUUCAAAUCCGAAACUGACCAAAAAUCGUAAACCCAAACUAAAUCUACAAAUCCGAACCUGAAAUAAUUGUUCCUCUCCAUAUGUGAAUAGAGAGGAAAGAUAGAGAGAUAGAAAAAGAAAAUAAAAAGAGAAUAGAUUAGAAAAUACAAUGGGGCAAAAUUACUUAAUUAACCCCAAAUCAAAAUACCAAAACUUUUUUUUUCAGGAUAUUUGGUGACUGGUACUUCUCUUAAGGCGGCCUGUUAUUGCAAGUCACAACUAACAAAAAUUAAAUAUGAGCCGUUGAAUAGGAAUAAAUAAACGACAUCUAAAAAUAAAAACUGUAGAAGAAUUGCUCUUACUAAUAAUAUACUUGCUCGACUCUCUCUCUCUAUAAAAAUAUGACGGUGUUUGGCUAAACGUACUAAAUAAUCUAGCUGGUAAUAUUAGAUUUACUUAGGAAUGAGAUUCAUCCAAAAGUACUAAUCUCAUUCCCUUGAAGGAGGGCGAAUAUCCUCAUAUUAAUGAAUUUGGGUAAUCAUAAUAUGUCUAAUUUCUUUCUUUCUCCUUACCCGCCGCCGGCUAGUUGGUAUUAUUUUUCUUUACACUCUAACCUCAUAUCUUUUUUUUAACUUUUUAUUUUCUCUUUUAACUUCAACUCUUUUUCUCUUUCUAAACUAAGCUCUCUCCCCCCUCUUUUUCUAAAAUCUCAACUCUCUCACUCCCUCUAAUCUCGACUCUAUUUCUCUUCAUAUUUCUUUAAUUAUGCUCUCUUUCUCUAGCCUAUGUUCUCUCUCUUUCUUUUUCUAAAAAGAUGUUGAAAUUUUUUAUGGCAUUAUCUAAAAUUAAUUAAAUAAAUAAAUAAAUAAAUUGUAUAUUUUUUGUAAACUUAAAUAACAUGACUAAGUAAUAUAACUGUGCGAACCAAACACAGGAAUGUCACAUUCUUAGUAAUAGGAUGAAUAGGAAUAAGAUUCUCGGACAUUUUUUUAUUGCUAGUAAUCUUUUAUAGUGCGAAUCAAACGCACCUUAAAAGAUUUUUGAAUGGAAAAUGUACAAGGAAUCGACAGAUGUGCAAGGGGU